UAUGCUUCAUCUUUUUAAUAUCUCUCGUGAGAAUGAUGGAAAGGAAAAUUGUGCUCAAGUGCUAGGAGAAGAAAUCUAUAAAAUGUUUGGCACUAGAUCUUUGAAUGAUGAGCAUGAUUGCAAUGUUGUUAGUAUGAACACUUUGAAUAUCCAUAGUACUAAUGAUGAUUGCACUAGUCAUGAUGAAAAUGUCUCUUAUAAGCAUGUCGGAUUUUGUGGAGUGCAUAGAAUUUACAAGUACACACCAAAUAGGGAAGAUAGAUUUUGCAAAAGGCAUAAGUAUUUAGAAACUAAAUGGUUGCAAGAGAGGCUAAAUGUUAGUGCUGAAAAUUUAAAAUAUCUUAGCCAUACUUGUUAACUUUGCAAUGAACAUGGUCAUUUAAAUAUCAAAUGCAAAUUGUUUCAUGAUCGAAUCGUGUCCAAAAAUUGUAAUGACUUGAUUUCCCUUGCACAUCAUAAUGAACUUAGUCUGCUUUUGGGUUAUGAAGAAUUGAAACAUCAAACUAAGUUUAUUCCAGAAUAUAACCUCGAGAAAUUCCUCGAUAUUGAUCUAGAAGAAAUUUAUAUGUAUUGUGCGGUGAAUUGCAUUGAAAAUCCUUAUAUUGCCAAUUACAUAAAGAAAAGAAAACAAAUAGAGGAUGAAUAGAAUACUAAUGAAAGGGAAGAGACUUCCUAAUAUCCUCCUAUUAUUUCUUAUGAUGAAUCAGGUAACGAGGAGGAGCUUUCUAUUCAACCAAUCUCAUUAAUAAGGAGCUCCAAAAAGAGGAUUGAACCCACACAUGAUGUGAAGAAGAAAAAGAAAAGACGAAGAAACAAAGGUAAAAAGGUAUCCCUCCCAAAUGAUGUUGCUCCUAUUACUCAUUGUGAUGAUGAUAAUUGCUAUACUAUUGGUGCUAUCCAUACUAUUAAUGAUGAGAGUGACUGUGCUUAUGAUAUGAAAAGUCCCAAGCUUUGGGAUGCUACGUUUAAUGAAGAUGAUAUUUUUAGUCUCCCAAGUUUUGAUAUGCAAAUUUAUAAUGAUGAUAGCAUGCCUCCUACUUAUGAUGAUUAUAUUUAUGAAAGUGGAUUUGGUGAGGUCAUGACUUUAUUUAGUGAUGAAUCCACUGUUUCGGAAGAGGUUUCAAUUGAUUAUGAUGAGAACAAAGUUGCUACUUAUGAUGAUUAUUGUGAUGAAACUUAUGCUAUAAAAAGUAGUGAUGAUUAUAUUUAUGAAACUUGUCAUGAUUAUGAUUACCCUUUCUGAAUAUUACUCUUUUAAUGUGGAAACAAUUUAUAGUAUUCAAGUCUCUUAUGAUACUCCCACUAUUCCGAACGAGAAGAAUUUUGCUUAUGUGGAGAGUAGUAAAUUUUCUAUGCAAGUAGAUCAUGAAAAGAAUGCUUUAGGUGCUGGUUAUAUUGUUUAAUUCAUUCGUGCUGCUACUGAAAAUUAUUAUGAGGGAGGAAUAUAUGCUUGUAGGAAUUGCAAUAAUAUCAAGUUUCCUCUCUAUGUGCUUAAAGUUUUGAAGUUAUGCUUGUUUUGCCUUCCUAUGCUAGUUGAUUAUUGUUCCCAUAAGUUGUUUGCUCACAAAAUCCCUAUGCAUAGGAAGUGGGUUAUACUUAAAUGUGCUAGUCACAUUCUUUAUGAUGCUCUCUUUAUGUUUCAAUUCUUAUCUUUUAUGUGAGCAUCAUUGAAAUCAUCAUGCCUAGCUAGGGGCGUUAAACGUCAGCGCUUGUUGGGAGGCAACCCAAUUUUAUUUUAGUUUCUUGCUUUUUGGUUCUGUUUAGUAAUAAAUAUUUGAUCUAGCCUCUGGUUAGAUGUAUUUUUAUGUUUUAAUUAGUGUUUGUGCCAAGUAAGACCUAUAGGAUCUUCUUGGAUGAUAGUUAUUUGAUCUUGCUGAAAUUUCCAGAAACUUUCUGUUCACGAAAACAAUUGUUAAAAAUCACCAGAACCUGAUAAAAUACUUAUUCCAAUUGCAGCAGAUCAAUAAUCAAAUUAUCUAGGUAUUCCUAUUUUGGUAGAAUUUUUUGAGUUCCAGAAGUUUGCGUUAGUUACAGAUUACUACAGACUGUUCUGUUUUUGACAGAUUCUGUUUUUCGUGUGUUGUUUGCUUAUUUUGAUGAAUCUAUGGCUAGUAAAAUAGUUUAUAAACCAUAGAGAAGUUUUAAUACAGUAUAUUUAACACCAAUACAAAUAAAGAAUGAUUUCAUUACAGUACCUUUAAGUGGUGUUUUGUUUUCUUUCGCUAACGGAGCUCACGAGUUUUCUGUUAAGUUUUGUGUUGUGAAGUUUUCAAGUUUUGGGUAAAGAUUCGAUGGACUAUGGAAUAAGGAGUGGCAAGAUCCUAAGCUUGGGGAUGCCCAAGGUACCCCAAGGUAAUAUUAAAGGACAACCAAGAGCCUAAGCUUGGGGAUGCCCCGGAUGGCAUCCCCUCUUUCGUCUUCGUUCAUCGGUAACUUUACUUGGAGCUAUAUUUUUAUUCACCACAUGAUAUGUGUUUUGCUUGGAGCGUCAUUUUAUUUUCUUUAGAUUUGCUUGCUGUUUGAAUAAAAUACCAAGGUCUGAAAUUCUUAAAUGAGAGAGAGUCUUCACAUAGCUACAUAAUUAUUUAACUACUCAUAUAUCUUCACUUAUAUCUUUUUGGAGUAGUUUGUCAUUUACUCGUGUGCUUCACUUAUAUCCUAUGAGUAAAUGGUUGAAUGAUUUGAAUGUCAUAAAUCUGAAUUUAUAUAUGUUUCAUAUGCUUAUCCCAUGGGGAGUAAUGACUUUACAUAUAAGAAGUAGAGGUGGUAAAUUUAUUGAAGGUUAGCAAACGUUGUAUUGGUUACUUGAACAAUUCAUGAAAGAAUAUUGAAGGAAGAGAGAUUUCACAUAUAAAUAUACUAUCUUGGACAUCUUCUAUGAUUGUGAGCCCCAUUAAUUAUUUUCAAACCUGAGCAAAUUAGUUGAAGUUGGACAAGGAAGACAACAUAAUGAGUUAUGCUUGGGUAUAUUUGUAUAGAAGUUAUAUUGUUAUGGAUCCUCUAACAUGUGGUGCUUGCUAUUUAGAAUCCUUUGCUAGCCAAAAUAUCUGUACUAAGCGGGAAUACUGCUUGUGCAUCCAAAUUCCUUGAACCAAUUUCUUCCAUGAGUGUCCAUCAUAUCUACCUAUAUGCGGUAUUUACCUUCCGUUCCAAGUAAAUUUGCAUGUGCCAAACUCUAAACCUUCAAAUAAUAAUCUGUUUUGUAUGCCCGAAUCGCUCAUGUAGCAACUAAGGGCUAGCAGUAUCUUCCAUGCUAGGUGGGUUAUUCUCACUAUGAGUGGACUCCGCUCAUCAUUCAAGAGAAAAUGGCUGGUAACUGGGAUGCCCAGUCCUAUGAUCAAAAGAUCAAAAACAAAUUCGCAAAUAAUUUAAACAAAACUCCCCCAGGAAUGUUGAUAGUUGGACGGCACCCGUUGUUUCGGACAAGCCGUGGAGUGUGAAUGUUGGUGGAGGGGAGUAAAAACUUUACCUUUAUGCAUGGGAACCGCCUAUAAUGUAUCUAGUAUGGAAGAUAUUGGGAACUCUUGGUCGUUAUGUUGACAAUGAAAGCAUACCUCUCAAAAUUAUUUUCAUCUCUGUUUUUUGCUUCGAGCUCUGGCACCUCUGCAAAUCCCUGCUCCCCUCUGCGAAGGGCCUAUCUUUUACCUUUAUGCAAGAGUCAGUAGUGUUCCUUCUCAUUCCAACCUACUCUUUAGUUGGCAAGCAUCAUGUGAUGGAAAGAUCUAAGCAUAUAUGGCCAUUCAAAUAUAUUUGAUCAUGAAUUAUUAUUGUUGACAAUUAUCUAUAUGAUAAAUAAGUUGGGAGGCGAAACAUUAAGCCCCUAUCUUUCUCUGUGUUCGAUGGAUGCUAUUUGUUCUAAAAAUAUGCUUUGAGUGGUAGCAAUCAUGGAAGACUAUAUGAUAGUUGAGUAUGUGGGAUUUGCUAAAUCAAAGCUCUGACAUAGACUCUUCCUGAAAAUAAGAUGAAUUGUAAUUGUUUGAUGACUAAUAACACGGUUUGUUAGUUUUCACGAAAGUUUAUGAUCUAUACUUUAACAUGUGAAUAGCUUGUUACCUGAUCAUGAAAAGUUCUAUGAGUUGAGCUACUGUUAUGACAUAUAAUGAUGCUAGAAAAGGUGAUUGAAAUUAUCAUUGAUCAAACUUAUGCAGCUGCUAGCAUUCACACUUCAUAAAUUCUUUCUUUUAUCAUUUACCUACUCGAGGACGAGCAGGAAUUAAGCUUGGGGAUGCCGAUACGUCUCCAACGUAUCUAUAAUUUAUGAAGUAUUCAUGUUAUUAUAUUAUCCAUCUUGGAUGUUUAAUGGGCUUUACUAUGCACUUUUACAUUACUUUUGGGACUAACCUAUUAACCCAGAGCCCAGUGACAGUUUCUGUUUUUCUCCUUGUUUCAGUGUUUCGCAGAAAAGGAAUAUCAAACGGAGUCCAAACGGAAUGAAACCUUCGGGAGAGUUAUUUUUGGAACGGAAGCAAUCCAGAAGACUUGGAGUAUACGUAAGGGAAGCAACAAGGAAGGCACGAGGCAGGGGGCGCGCCCACACCCCCGGGAGCUCCCCUUACCGACUUCUUUCUCCUAUAUAUAUACCAAUAUACCCUAAAACCAUCGGGGAACAGAAUAGAUCAGGAGUUCCGCCGCCGCAAGCCUCUGUAGCCACCUUAAACCAAUCGGGACCAUGUUCCGGCACCCUGUCGGAGGGAGGAUCCCUCACCGGUGGCCAUCCUCAUCAUCCCGGCGCUCUCCAUGACGAGGAGGGAGUAGUUCACCCUUGGGGCUGAGGGUAUGUACCAGUAGCUAUGUGUUUGAUCUCUCUCUCUCUCUCGUGUUCUUGAGGUGGUACGAUCUUGAUGUAUCGCGAGCUUUGCUAUUAUAGUUGGAUCUUAUGAUGUUUCUCCCCCUCUACUCUCUUGUAAUGGAUUGAGUUUUCCCGUUGAAGUUAUCUUAUCGGAUUGAGUCUUUAAGGAUUUGAGAACACUUGAUGUAUGUCUUGCAUGUGCUUAUCUGUGGUGACAAUGGGAUAUCACGUGAUCUACUUGAUGUAUGUUUUGGUGAUCAACUUGCGGGUUCAGUGACCUUCUGAACUUAUGCAUAGGGGUUGGCACACGUUUUCGUCUUGACUCUCCGGUAGAAACUUUGGGGCACUCUUUGAAGUUCUUUGUGUUGGUUGAAUAGAUGAAUCUGAGAUUGUGUGAUGCAUAUCGUAUAAUCAUACCCACGGAUACUUGAGGUGACAUUGGAGUAUCUAGGUGACAUUAGGGUUUUGGUUGAUAUGUGUCUUAAGGUGUUAUUCUAUUACGAACUCUUUAAUAGAUCGAUCCAAAAGAAUAACUUUGAGGUGGUUUUGUACCCUACCAUAAUCUCUUCGUUUGUUCUCCGCUUAGUGGCUUUGGAGUGACUCUCUGUUGCAUGUUGAGGGAUAGUUAUAUGAUCCAAUUAUGUUAUUAUUGUUGAGAGAACUUGCACUAGUGAAAGUACGAACCCUAGGCCUUGUUUCCUAGCAUUGCAAUACCGUUUGUGCUCACUUUUAUCAUUAGUUACCUUGCUGUUUUUAUAUUUUCAGAUUACAAAAACCUAUAUCUAUCAUCCAUAUUGCACUUGUAUCACCAUCUCUUCGCCGAACUAGUGCACCUAUACAAUUUACCAUUGUAUUGGGUGUGUUGGGGACACAAGAGACUCUUUGUUAUUUGGUUGCUGGGUUGUUUGAGAGAGACCAUCUUCAUCCUACACCUCCCACAGAUUGAUAAACCUUAGGUCAUCCACUUGAGGGAAAUUUGCUACUGUCCUCUACACUUGGAGGCCCAACAACGUCUACAAGAAGAAGGUUGCGUAGUAGACAUCAAGCUCUUUUCUGGCGCCGUUGCUGGGGAGGUGAGUGCUUGAAGGUAUAUCUUUAGAUCUUGCAAUCGAAUCUUUUAGUUUCUUGUUUUAUCACUAGUUUAGUUUAUAAAAGAAAACUACAAAAAAAUGGAAUUGAGUUUGUCUCAUACGCUUCAUCUUUUUAAUAUCUUUCGUGAGAAUGAUGGAAAGGAAAAUUGUGCUCAAGUGCUAGGAGAAGAAAUCUAUAAAAUGUUUGGCAGUUGAUCUUUGAAUGAUGAGCAUGAUUGCAAUGUUGUUAGUAUGAACUCUUUGAAUAUCCAUAGUACUAAUGAUGAUUGCACUAGUCAUGAUGAAAAUGCCUCUUAUAAGCAUGUCAGAUUUUGUGGAGUGCAUAGAAUUUGCAAGUACACACCAAAUAGGGAAGAUAGAUUUUGCAAAAGGCAUAAGUAUUUAGAAACUAAAUGGUUGCAAGAGAGGCUAAAUGUUAGUGCUGAAAAUUUAAAAUAUCUUAGCCAUACUUGUGAACUUUGCAAUGAAUAUGGUCAUUUAAAUAUCAAAUGCAAAUUGUUUCAUGAUCGAAUCGUGUCUAAAAAUUGUGAUGACUUGAUUUCCCUUGCACAUCAUAAUGAACUUAGUCUACUUUUGGGUUAUGAAGAAUUGAAACAUCAAACUAAGUUUAUUCCAGAAUAUAACCUCGAGAAAUUCCUCGAUAUUGAUCUAGAAGAAAUUUAUAUGUAUUGUGCGGUGAAUUGCAUUGAAAAUC
RNAcentral lists this long non-coding RNA (6574 nucleotides) under Triticum aestivum (bread wheat). Its description in RNAcentral is "long non-coding RNA (TAES_LNC009170)". Lineage: Eukaryota; Viridiplantae; Streptophyta; Magnoliopsida; Poales; Poaceae. The record is from RNAcentral.